Molecule: long non-coding RNA, 650 nt
Organism: Ictidomys tridecemlineatus (thirteen-lined ground squirrel)
Lineage: Eukaryota; Metazoa; Chordata; Mammalia; Rodentia; Sciuridae
Source: RefSeq, a predicted model, not a curated record
ACAACAAUUCUGUCUCUGACACUGGCAUCUAGCUGGAGGUCAGGUGAAACUGGGAAAGAAUUGAAAAUUUUCAAUGUGGUUUCCACUUUCAGUCUGAAACGUUAUUUACAGCUGUGAUGGUGUAUAAGCCAGUGUCACUCCUGCGAGACUGUGGAAUAACUAAAGUGCAGAUACUUAUUUUUCUCAAGUGGAGGAAAAGAAAUUUGAUUGUGAAGAGAAACGCACUGCGGCAGUUGCCAAGCAAAUGACUGGUUGCUUUCUGACCCUUCUGAGGAGCAGGCAGAGGAACUGCCUUAACUUCUGACAAAGAAAACAGCUUUCCAUGGAGAAAAUUACAAUUGGAUCACGUGCUGUUUUGGGAUCAGAAGGUGGACUGAACUUGCCAGGUCCAGCUGCAUUUUCCGCACAUACUCUGAAGACAUAGGUCCAGCCAGAUUUUCAGCCAACACACGGAAUCUGUAUUUUUUCUUAUUGGUGAGACCUUUCACUCUGAAUUAGGAAAAAGAGCAUGUACAACAAUAUGGUUCUCCACAGGCAACCCAUUUAUCGGAACCACGUGGACACUUUUCUACUAUGUAUCCUUUGAUGCGUGAACCACCAUCAUAUUUAGGUGGAUCCCAUGUUAGGAAGAUGCUCUUGGCUGUCCGAUC